AAGUGGAUAGUGAAACCUGGUGGCUCAACCAUUCAGACUAUUAUCCAAACUGCAAAGCUUGAGAAUGGUAGAGGUAGUUGGAAUUUCGUGUGUAGGAGUGAAAUCCGUAGAUAUAGGAAGGAACACCAAUGGCGUAGGCAGGCUACUGGACCAUUUCUGACGCUAAGGCACGAAAGCGUGGGGAGCGAACCGGAUUAGAUACCCGGGUAGUCCACGCCGUAAACUAUGGAUACUA
Molecule: ribosomal RNA, 235 nt
Filed under: uncultured Candidatus Saccharibacteria bacterium
Lineage: Bacteria; Candidatus Saccharimonadota
Description: partial 16S ribosomal RNA
Rfam family: Bacterial small subunit ribosomal RNA
Source: RNAcentral